This 330-nucleotide ribosomal RNA is filed under the name uncultured bacterium. RNAcentral describes it as "bacterial SSU rRNA". It matches the Rfam family "Bacterial small subunit ribosomal RNA", at positions 8 to 334 of the family's 1533-position model. The record is from RNAcentral.
AGGGUUUGAUUAUGGCUCAGGAUGAACGCUAGCUACAGGCUUAACACAUGCAAGUCGAGGGGCAGCAUGACCUAGCAAUAGGUUGAUGGCGACCGGCGCACGGGUGAGUAACACGUAUCCAACCUACCGGUUAUUCCGGGAUAGCCUUUCGAAAGAAAGAUUAAUACCGGAUAGUAUAACGAGAAGGCAUCUUCUUGUUAUUAAAGAAUUUCGAUAACCGAUGGGGAUGCGUUCCAUUAGUUUGUUGGCGGGGUAACGGCCCACCAAGACAUCGAUGGAUAGGGGUUCUGAGAGGAAGGUCCCCCACAUUGGAACUGAGACACGGUCCAA